This 403-nucleotide unclassified non-coding RNA is filed under the name uncultured Diversispora. RNAcentral's name for it is "sequence contains 28S rRNA gene". The record is from RNAcentral. Lineage: Eukaryota; Fungi; Glomeromycota; Glomeromycetes; Diversisporales; Diversisporaceae.
AGUUAAAUAGUACGUGAAAUUGUUGAAAGGGAAACGAUUGAAGUCAGUCAUGCUAGUGAAAAAUCAGUUUGACGGGUUUUGAGUUCAGGAGUAGAGGCAGGGUCAAACCGUUUCUCUUUUGAACUUGGGAUUUGUUAGAUGUACUUUUUCUUUGGCAGGUCAGCGUCGAUUUCGGAGGUUGUAAAAUACUUGGGGGAAAGUAACUCUGCUUCGGGAGAGUAUUAUAGACCCUGGGGGAUGCAGCCUGCGGGAUCGAGGAUUGCAGCAAAUGCCUUUGGCUUGUCGCCUGAUCUCUGGAUGUUACCUCGCUUGUGACAACAUUCUUGCCACCUGUGGGUACUAAUGCCCAUUAGGUUAGAGCGAUCAAAAAUUUUGCUAAGGAUGCUGACGUAAUGGCUUUAAA